Pelobates cultripes (western spadefoot toad) is the source of this 213-nucleotide non-coding RNA. The record is from the annotation of a GenBank genome assembly. Lineage: Eukaryota; Metazoa; Chordata; Amphibia; Anura; Pelobatidae.
CUUAAGUCUGUUCCAUUUCCUGUGUCAAGGAGGAGGGUAAUAUGUGGGCAAUUUUUCUCGGAAACUGGACAUGGAGACUUUAGCUUCUCCUUUAGUCAGAGAAAGUCAAGUACUUCAUGUUAUGUUUUACAGUAAAUUAGAUCAGAUAUGUUCAGACAGAUUCCAAAAGAGGAAGAGGAAAUAGGAGAAAGGCAAGUUCGGAAUGACAGUGCC